CAGGACUCUACUGCGGAGGUGCUGCUCUUGCUUGGAUCUUCUUGUUUGAAGAAGCCCAAAAGCUGCACCAGCCACAAGCAUCGCCUGAUCAAGACCAUUCAAUCUCCCUUUUUUAAAUUCAACAGCAGUCUGGGUGUCUUUGCCCUUUGGAGCAGUGAAUUCUGCUGGCUGACACCACUUGAGAGGAAGAAGAAAUUCUUCUCUUGGCCAAGUGCUUACUUAUUCUUCUAACAUAGGAUCGUGUGAAGAAGGACUGACAAUUUUGGUUUUAUUUUGCCUGUUUUGGUAGGAUACAGAGUCUUUUCUCAGCACGGAGCCCUGGCUGUGCUAGGAACCACAUAUAUGUGAGGACAAGUCCUAGCCUUGAAAAUCUCACCCUUUUAAAAGUCAAAACCACAAGAGAGAUGCAAAAAUACUUCUGUAAACAAACAGAGCAAUUAUCACUGGAUGUAAAGCUCUAUUUCUUCCUUGAGAGCAAUGAAAAGCACCCCUGUGAAGGGUCAGGAGGAAAGACAGCUCAGAUUUCUCCAGCUUUCAGUGGUAGUUGGGUGUGGAGGCAGGGAUGGACCAUGAGAUGCUGCAUGAUAACCUUUUGGCUGAUAUGCCAGUCACCUGCAGCCUGGCAUGAUAGCUUUUCCCCAUGCUGCACCCCUCCCCCCUUCCCCUUGCACUCCCUUGUGUCUCUUGUACAGGGUCAUGGAGGGAGAGAGAGGCCCCUGUGUCUGGGUGCAUAAUGGGAUGGCAGGGAGUCAUUCUGCAGGUCUCAAGUUCGUGGUGUGACAGUGAUGGGCAUAUGGAGGCCAGGUUCUGUCACUCUUGAAUAACUCACCUGUGAGUUUUGGCCUUUAGGCACCAGAGGGGUCUAAUGCCUGCUCAGUUCUGGUCCCCACUAUACAAAAAAUAUGUGGACCUGCUUGAGAGGGUCUAGAGAAGGGCAACAAAGAUUAUCAAAGGACUGGGCAGUGUGCUGUAUGAGAAAAGGCUGGGAGAUCGGAGAUCUGGGUUUUUUCAGUCUGGAAAAAAGAAAGCUUAAGGAGUUCCUUUUUGCCACAUUCCAGUACUUGAAGGGUGGCUACCAAGAAAACGGAAACUUCCUUUUUAUCAGGAGUUACAUGGAAAAGAAGAGUGGUAAUGGGUGCUAGUUACUCCUGAAGAGAUUCCAAUUGGACAUCAGAAGAAAUUUUUUCAAUUUGAACAGUUGGACAUUGCAAUAAUCUCCCUAGGGAAGUGGUGGCUUCCCCAACACUGAACAAUUUUAAGACUCAGCUUGACAGGGUACUGGGCCAUCACAUCUAAACCAUGUUCUUACCUAAAAAGGUUGGACCAGAUGAUCCUUCAGGUCCCUUCCAAACUGGCAUUCUGUGAUUCUGUGAUUUGUGAUCUUACUGCUGCUAGAAAGGACAAAAAUGUUUUUUGGCCCAUCACUGUGUCAGUGGGUGUUGAUGAGUGCACUUAAAAAGAGUUGGGCAAAGUGUUGGCGCAUCACAUAAAAACAAGAGGAAGAAAGGGGGAAGAAAGGAGGACUGAUGGAGAGGGCUGUGUGUGCAAAAUCUUGUGUUGGCAAAAAGGGAAUACACAAGUCAAGAUUUUAUUUGUCUAAUUAGAAUCUUAACAGGCUAACAAAUAUACAACAUACAGUUAGAAGCAGUACAAUUCCAAUACACAAAUAUUCACAGUUCAAACUGGUUAAUGUAAAAUAAGUCUUACUAAUAAAAUGGUUAAAAAUUGUUAUGCAGGACAACUAACCUCACAAAUCUACCUCUUAUUCCCUGGUGUUAUGCUCCUUUCCAUUGCCUCUCUGCAUCCUGGGGAUGAUGGUACAAUCUUCCCUUAUGAACAAAGUGGGUAGCAGGUUUGCAGCAAGACAUCGAUGUCCCAUGUGUCAAAUCUUCAGCUCCCCACAGUCCUGCCCUGCCCAACUAUGCUCUCCCCAAAGUGGGUCCACCUGUGGGCCCAUGUCCCAGCCUGUGCUUGUCCCCGUGGCCCUGCUUGGCCACCCUGGGGCUGUGUCUGACCCCAGUUUAUUCACUGAAGGUUUAUCAGCCUGAAGUCUCUGGGUAUCAUUCUAUACUUGUACUUCUCUAGGCUGUAUCAUGUGUCCCCACUUUGGAGGUUUUUGCCAUCCUCCUACAUAAUUACACUAGGGUUAUGAAUGUGUUUUAAUACACAGACUAUCUGCUUAUUAGUAUUUGUAAAAAAGUUACUAUCCCAUAUGAUUAUUCCAUAUGAUUCUGCUAUCUGAUUUUGCUCAACUCUAGAGCUAAGUGAAAGUUAAGUAAAUUAGGCAAUAGAUACCUGGACAUUAGAAAAUUGCUGUUACAGCUAAACAUUCUUCCAAGCAGGCCAAAAGUAGUCCAGACAAAGUUUGAGAUGUCCUGAGGUGUUUCUGGGUUAGUAGAAAGCCUGAAGACUGUCCCUAGCCAUGACAGCAUGGUGCUUCCCAAGCUAGGAGGCUACAGUCAGGAGCAUAGGGCUGGGGAGGAGGAAGGGACACUUCUGGGGGACCAGGUGAAGAAGGGAGGUUUGGCAAACAGCCAGCAGUGAAAGCAAAACACCCCUUGCCUGGAGGCAACCUGAUGCCCAAGAGACACAGAGGUGGAGUAGGCAGUGGGAUCCUGGUGUCACUUCUUCAGUUACAGCUGAAAGAAGCCAAAUAAGCUGAUGGUAGGAUGGCUGUUAUGGGAAUGGUGCUCUCAAAGACCCUUCCACCAUCCAGGUCUGGUGAGAGAUGGUGACUUCCAGACCUCAUGGGUACCUUUUCCAUGUGCCAGUCAUUGCUAUUUAACACUUCCUAAGAAACAUGUCACACUGCUGCAAUGAUACCUCCCAGUUGCUGCAUUGGAGAGAGAGAGGGUGACAAACUCUAUGGACUUUAUUAAGCCCUUGGGUUAAAAAGCACAUCUUUGCCCUUUUUCUACCUGGAAAAAUAUGCAUACCAUGGAUGCCUUCUGAAGUCUCUCAUCCCCUCUUUGCCAGACAGGAUUAUUUUGGAGUACAAAAAGUCUUUCAAACCUCUGGAAGAACAUCCUUCAGUACUCCCUGAAACUCACUUACCAAACCUUUGCUUAUUCAUUUAGUAAAAGGGGAAAAUACUUGCUUCUGAAUACAUGCAUCUGCAGUGAACUUCAAAGGGGAGUAACCCUAAGAAAUUUUAAUAAGCAUUUAGAGGAAUCCAUUUUAAAUUAAAAACUACUCAAGUGGUGGAGAAUGGCACACAAGAACAGUGAUAUGCUGCAAAAUGUACAAGAUGCUUCCCACUUUGUAGAUAUAUACACACUAUGUCCAAUAGUGUUUGGGAUAUUUUGAUGAGUUAGAGUUUGGAGUCACUGUCCUCAACUCCUACAAAUUACUUAAAGCUGUAUGUGAAGAAGAAACAUCUCACACGAGGUUCAUAGGUCUUUGAGGCAAGAUCCUAAACAAAGGUGAUGAAAUCAGGCGUGGGCCAUGGGUUAAACGUAUGAGGCAAUUAAAAUAGAGUAUUAACCCAGGUGUCCAUAAUAAAAGUUUCAAAAUGGCUUUAAAAGUAUGUGAUGACUAACACAUAAUUUAUAUUCUGUUCUCUCCAUAUCUCAUUUAUUGCUCUCCAGUGAUUUCUGAAUCAUUAAUGGAUUUUGGGCAAAAUUCCACCCAAGUAAUUGAACCCUGCCCUUCUAAAGCAUAUUUUAGUUUGUUUGUAUCUAUCUAUGUACUCACUUUGCCUUAUUCUAUUAUGUAGUGUGCUAGUAAACUAUUAAGAAGCCAUUACAGUCCCCUGACGAGCUUUGCAGGGUUAAUUGCUUUUUCUAAGCAGAUUUUUAUACAGUAUCUGUCAGUAGCCUUCAAACUGCUUGCUCAGCAUCAGACUGCAUCAGAGGGCCUUCAACUGUAGCAGAGGGCAGCAUAAGGUCUCCUGUGGUAGGUGGCUUCUCUGUGCACCAGUGUAUCUGAAAAAAACAAUUGUGAUCACCUCAGUAGGAGAUCCUCCACUGGCUGAUGAAGGAUCAUAACAAAUGCAGGAUUUAGUGUCCCUUUCAAUUACCACUAGCCCUCCCUGACUUCACUUGUUAUAAGCUCAGGGUAGGUCCUCUUUGGUUUGUUAGUAUGAGUGCUUCAAAUGCUGACAUUACUGCAGGGUUUGGGGUGUCUAAAGGCAAAAUCAUAACUUUAAUUAACGCAACUGAGUAUCUGCCACAUCUCUCAUAGACGUAAGCAAUUGUGAACUUCGACAUUAUGUAUGUUGAUCUGAAAACUGUAUGGGAAGGAAACUAUUUCAUGUGCAUCUUCCUUAGGAAAGAAAAAUCUUGUUGAGCUUUGUUGCAUUUGUGACUAUAUGCUCACACAUGAAGUUGUUUUAUAUGCAUUUAUUGGUAUUUUCGUUUCUGAUCUCCCAGGAUCAGAUGGCAUAAUCUUUUGAAUUCUGUCAUUUUAAGGCUUUAAUAAAAAUAUUAUUUAUCCAA
Apus apus (common swift) is the source of this 4436-nucleotide long non-coding RNA. RefSeq lists it as uncharacterized. The transcript has 2 exons. NCBI's taxonomy places the organism in Eukaryota, Metazoa, Chordata, Aves, Apodiformes, Apodidae. The record is from RefSeq and is a predicted model, not a curated record.